This is a long non-coding RNA of Equus caballus (horse), 1859 nucleotides long. The record is from Ensembl. Lineage: Eukaryota; Metazoa; Chordata; Mammalia; Perissodactyla; Equidae.
CGGAGAAGCGUAUUUCCAGGGCAACUUCUUAUGUGGUCACACUUACCAUGAUGUAAUCAAUCAAACGAAGGCUCACAGAAAAAUUUAUUAACUCAGCAGAGAAAAGGCUCCUGCCAGGUCUAGCAGAGUUAUUAAUACUGCAAACGAAUGCUGAAUUGAUGAUCAGGAAGAGAGGGCAGAUGGAGAGCAGGCCGGGCCAAGGCAGCCAAGGGCGUGUGCAGGGCAGCGGCAGCCAGGUGAGGAGCCACGAGGAGUCCAACCUCCGUGUGUGCGGAAGAGAGACUAUACAGUCAGUAUUACUCCUGCUAAAUACCCAGAGGGACCACAACCAACUUUCCUGGUCUGUGUUCCAUUAUACAAAAGAGGACUACAAAGAAAAGGACUGUGGAAAUAAAUGCAUACUCUUCUUUUGAAAUUCGUGAGGAAUGUUCAUGAUUUUUAACCAUAAGACAGCAAAAUGGGAUAAGGUGAUAAACAAUGCAAACGGUACUGUAACUGUUAAAGAAAAAAAGGAAGAAAUGCAAAGAAAAAAGAAAGUCAUCACUAGGAAUCUUAAAUUCUGAAAAAAAGAGUUCAAAAAGAUCUAAUGGGGAGAAGAGAACUUUCCAACUGUUGUCAUCCUGCUAUUGUAACCUGAGCCCCUCCCAAGUUUUCAGACUCCAAAAUCAGAUCUAAUUAAAAGAAAAUGGAAAAGGACUUGGAGCCUUUUCAGCUCUGGAUAACAUGCAGACAAAUAAAUUAAAAAGGGGGAGAAGUGGAACUAACCCAAUAAUCCGUGAAAAGCUCAUUUCCCUCCCGGCCGCCACUGAUGCAACACUGUCCUUCCUCCCUCCCAUCCUCUGGUUCAGGGGCAGUGAGUGGAGAAAUUGGCUAACAAGAUCAGAAAAUUUAAUUACAGCUCUGCCGUCCCCUUCCGAGAAGUUGGCUGUCACACUUCCCUUUUGCAGAUCGUCGUCUGAAUGUGCUGUCUCUGAUGAGCUUCCCCUCCGCCCCAGUCUCACUCAUCUCCCGACAUCGGCUCGGGACGGUGGACACAGACACUUUAAUUUGGGGGUUUAGAAGGAUUAGAUAUGAAGAUUAAAAGGAGCAGUUGGAGAAGAGAAUGUCGUUAUCCUCUCAUUUCCUUUGGUCUGCCUGAGCAACUUUGCCCAGUCUUAUCCCAAGAGAAGUACUGUGGGAGCCCCAAAGGCUUAGCAUCCUCGCAUUCCAGACCUAAAGAAGCCCUGAGACCCUGUAGAAGGAGCAGACACACCUGCAUUCAAGUGUCUGUUUUGCAUGCUGACUCAGAGAUACAGGAACGGCUUCCUUGAGCAGUGUUUCUAGCAAGAUUCUGAAAUGCUUUGGGCUCAAAACAAACACACGAACAAAAGAAUAAUGUGGUCCAUUAAUGAUUUCUUCCAGGGGGGUAGAAUGCAGAAUGGUGUCAAAAGAACCAAGUGUUUGCCAUUUCUGUUCUAGGGCAGCCAGAGGUUUAUGUCCAAAUCCAGUGUGCAAACCACUGGAGAGUGACAUGGAACAGGUGUCUUCAAAAUUCAAAGUUUAGCCAAUUAAAAAAAGGACUCUUGGUUUGCUUCUCUGUCACUAGGCAAAGCAAGGUAGUCAGACAAACUGUGCAGAGGUUCCCGGCCUUCACGUGACUGAGAUGCUAUUUCUCUUCACAGAAUGUAGUCGGCCCCUAUGUCCUCAGACCACCACAGGUCUCCUCCUAGAUUAGGGCAAGAGACAUAAGCCCAGAAAAGUGACUGUGGUAAUAAGGGGCAGUCUCCUGCUAGUGUGUCAGGGAUCCUUAACUUGGCCCGGUCAAUGCUGCUGGGAAGACAGUGCAGCAGGAGGAAGAGGAGCCAGCCAAGGAAAGACAG